CAUGUCAUGCAGAAAAAGAUUUUAUAAAUCAGGUGGUAGAUAAAAGAUUAGCUACUGCAGUAGUGGGGGGUUCCGUGGGCCAGCCUAUUAGAGGGGCACGGUAAACUCCUUUAUAUUCUCACCUCGGUCGUAGAGGCGCGUAGGGUAUCUCCUGAGAUGGGCUUUUUGAGUGCACUUCACGUGGACCACCGCGUGAGAGUGAGACUCAGCUAACGCCAAGGAACGGCUAUGUUCCAAAAUAAAAAUAUG
RNAcentral lists this long non-coding RNA (249 nucleotides) under Theobroma cacao (cacao). RNAcentral's name for it is "long non-coding RNA (TCAC_LNC006264)". Lineage: Eukaryota; Viridiplantae; Streptophyta; Magnoliopsida; Malvales; Malvaceae. The record is from RNAcentral.